Molecule: ribosomal RNA, 466 nt
Filed under: uncultured bacterium
Lineage: Bacteria
Description: partial 16S ribosomal RNA
Rfam family: Bacterial small subunit ribosomal RNA
Source: RNAcentral
GACGAACGCUGGCGGCGUGCUUAACACAUGCAAGUCGAACGAUGAAGCCUAGCUUGCUGGGUGGAUUAGUGGCGAACGGGUGAGUAACACGUGAGUAACCUGCCCCUUACUCUGGGAUAAGCGCUGGAAACGGCGUCUAAUACUGGAUAUUACCUUUCCUCGCAUGGUGUUUGGUGGAAAGAUUUUUCGGUUUGGGAUGGACUCGCGGCCUAUCAGCUUGAUGGUGAGGUAGUGGCUCACCAUGGCGACGACGGGUAGCCGGCCUGAGAGGGUGACCGGCCACACUGGGACUGAGACACGGCCCAGACUCCUACGGGAGGCAGCAGUGGGGAAUAUUGCACAAUGGGCGCAAGCCUGAUGCAGCAACGCCGCGUGAGGGAUGACGGCCUUCGGGUUGUAAACCUCUUUUAGUAGGGAAGAAGCGUAAGUGACGGUACCUACAGAAAAAGCACCGGCUAACUACGUG